Selaginella moellendorffii is the source of this 690-nucleotide long non-coding RNA. RefSeq lists it as uncharacterized. The record is from RefSeq and is a predicted model, not a curated record. The transcript has 5 exons. NCBI's taxonomy places the organism in Eukaryota, Viridiplantae, Streptophyta, Lycopodiopsida, Selaginellales, Selaginellaceae.
GAUUCUCGAUCGAUCGAGCGGUUUUGUCGAGUUUCUAGGUUUUGCGAGCUUGAUUUUGAGUCGUGUCUAGCGAAUCGGAUGGAUGCUCUACAUAGGUACCGAGCUUCAAUACGAUAGGACUCGGAAUCGCGUCACGGGGACUUCUGAAGAAAAGUCUGUGAGAAAUGGUCCAUUGUGGCGACGGUCUAUCCCUUAUCUCCGCUUUGUACUUUUGGGAUCACCAUUUCAAAGCGUGCUUGGAAAAAAGAACCAAAGUUUGCGGUUCUCCUCGAUCAAGAAUCUCGUGUCCAAUCAUCGAGGACUUUAGUGAGUGGCUGCAUUACCAGGAUCUAGAAGAUAAUGGUACACAGGCUUUCCCAUUUUUCUGCCAGGAAAUCCGAAGAAAUCCGUGACCAGGUCUGUUUAAUCCGUUUUUAUCUGCUGCUAUCGUUUUCUUUUUCGUCUUGCAGGACGCACGGAUUUUAAUUUUUUUGGGAACAGUAGAUUUGCAAUCCAAUAUCUAAGAUUGCUGUGAAAACCACUGAGAACAGUGCAUACCAAAUGUAACUCGUGCUCUUGGAAAGGAGCUGUCGCAAAGAGGAUCUAGACGGCCUUGUACGCUCGACUCGUCCACCACACACGGAACGCUUUUCUUCGAUCACAAAAGAAUGUUCUUCAAAUACAAUAGAACUUACUUAAACAUGGCAUUUU